GGAAGUAAAAGUUGUAACAAGGGCUCCGUAGGUGAACCUGCGGAAGGAUCAUUAAAGUUAUAGUCCCCUGGCCCUCUGGGCUGGGGUCUUCUAUACCACCCUUUGUUUAUUACACCUUUGUUGCUUUGGCAGGCCUGCCCUCGGGCUGCUGGCUCCGGCCGGCUCGCGUCUGCCAGAGGACCUAAACUCUGUUUGUAUAUGAAGUCUGAGUACUAUAUAAUAGUUAAAACUUUCAACAACGGAUCUCUUGGUUCUG
This 256-nucleotide unclassified non-coding RNA is filed under the name plant metagenome. Its description in RNAcentral is "partial contains small subunit ribosomal RNA, internal transcribed spacer 1, and 5.8S ribosomal RNA". The stretch from base 1 to 54 matches the Rfam family "Eukaryotic small subunit ribosomal RNA", at positions 1778 to 1831 of the family's 1831-position model. The record is from RNAcentral.